Molecule: ribosomal RNA, 453 nt
Filed under: uncultured bacterium
Lineage: Bacteria
Description: bacterial SSU rRNA
Rfam family: Bacterial small subunit ribosomal RNA
Source: RNAcentral
AGUUUGAUCAUGGCUCAGAACGAACGCUGGCGGCAGGCCUAACACAUGCAAGUCGAACGCUCGUAGCAAUACGGGAGUGGCAGACGGGUGCGUAACGCGUGGGAACAUACCCUUUGGUUCGGAAUAACUCAGGGAAACUUGAGCUAAUACCGGAUACGCCCGAGAGGGGAAAGAUUUAUUGCCGAAGGAUUGGCCCGCGUCUGAUUAGCUAGUUGGUAGGGUAACGGCCUACCAAGGCGACGAUCAGUAGCUGGUCUGAGAGGAUGAUCAGCCACACUGGGACUGAGACACGGCCCAGACUCCUACGGGAGGCAGCAGUGGGGAAUAUUGGACAAUGGGCGCAAGCUUGAUCCAGCCAUGCCGCGUGAGUGAUGACGGCCUUAGGGUUGUAAAGCUCUUUUACCUGGGAAGAUAAUGACGGUACCAGGAGAAUAAGCCCCGGCUAACUACGUG